Molecule: long non-coding RNA, 260 nt
Filed under: Elaeis guineensis (African oil palm)
Lineage: Eukaryota; Viridiplantae; Streptophyta; Magnoliopsida; Arecales; Arecaceae
Description: long non-coding RNA (EGUI_LNC012980)
Source: RNAcentral
CCAGGUCACUACUCUGAGCUUCUACAGUAAGAAAUCUCCAUCUGAGCUUCUACGACAAUUGAUCUUCGACUGAGCUUCUACAAUAAGCGGCCUCCUUUCAGCCUUCUGCAAGAACUAGGCUUCGUCCGAACUUCCAUAGCGGAUGGAUUCCGGACGAGCUGCUACAACAGACGGACUCCAGUAGCUGGACUUCUACAACAGCCGAUCGCCUCCGAUGUCUGUCGAACCUCCCCAGCCAUCAGCCUUUAAUAACGUCAGCA